CGAGCGGACAGAAGGGAGCUUGCUCCCGGAUGUUAGCGGCGGACGGGUGAGUAACACGUGGGUAACCUGCCUGUAAGACUGGGAUAACUCCGGGAAACCGGAGCUAAUACCGGAUAGUUCCUUGAACCGCAUGGUUCAAGGAUGAAAGACGGUUUCGGCUGUCACUUACAGAUGGACCCGCGGCGCAUUAGCUAGUUGGUGAGGUAACGGCUCACCAAGGCGACGAUGCGUAGCCGACCUGAGAGGGUGAUCGGCCACACUGGGACUGAGACACGGCCCAGACUCCUACGGGAGGCAGCAGUAGGGAAUCUUCCGCAAUGGACGAAAGUCUGACGGAGCAACGCCGCGUGAGUGAUGAAGGUUUUCGGAUCGUAAAGCUCUGUUGUUAGGGAAGAACAAGUGCAAGAGUAACUGCUUGCACCUUGACGGUACCUAACCAGAAAGCCACGGCUAACUACGUGCCAGCAGCCGCGGUAAUACGUAGGUGGCAAGCGUUGUCCGGAAUUAUUGGGCGUAAAGGGCUCGCAGGCGGUUUCUUAAGUCUGAUGUGAAAGCCCCCGGCUCAACCGGGGAGGGUCAUUGGAAACUGGGAAACUUGAGUGCAGAAGAGGAGAGUGGAAUUCCACGUGUAGCGGUGAAAUGCGUAGAGAUGUGGAGGAACACCAGUGGCGAAGGCGACUCUCUGGUCUGUAACUGACGCUGAGGAGCGAAAGCGUGGGGAGCGAACAGGAUUAGAUACCCUGGGUAGUCCACGCCGUAAACGAUGAGUGCUAAGUGUUAGGGGGGUUUCCGCCCCUUAGUGCUGCAGCUAACGCAUUAAGCACUCCCGCCUGGGGGAGUACGGUCGCCAAGACUGAAACUCAAAGGAAUUGACGGGGGCCC
This 882-nucleotide ribosomal RNA is filed under the name Bacillus pumilus. RNAcentral describes it as "bacterial SSU rRNA". It matches the Rfam family "Bacterial small subunit ribosomal RNA", at positions 63 to 922 of the family's 1533-position model. Lineage: Bacteria; Bacillati; Bacillota; Bacilli; Caryophanales; Bacillaceae. The record is from RNAcentral.